Molecule: ribosomal RNA, 163 nt
Filed under: Phaseolus lunatus (lima bean)
Lineage: Eukaryota; Viridiplantae; Streptophyta; Magnoliopsida; Fabales; Fabaceae
Description: 5.8S ribosomal RNA
Rfam family: 5.8S ribosomal RNA
About the family: 5.8S ribosomal RNA (5.8S rRNA) is a component of the large subunit of the eukaryotic ribosome. It is transcribed by RNA polymerase I as part of the 45S precursor that also contains 18S and 28S rRNA. Functionally, it is thought that 5.8S rRNA may be involved in ribosome translocation.
Source: RNAcentral
AAAUGACUCUCGGCAACGGAUAUCUCGGCUCUUGCAUCGAUGAAGAACGUAGCGAAAUGCGAUACUUGGUGUGAAUUGCAGAAUCCCGUGAACCAUCGAGUCUUUGAACGCAAGUUGCGCCCAAAGCCAUUAGGCUGAGGGCACGCCUGCCUGGGUGUCACAC